CCUACGGGAGGCAGCAGUGGGGAAUUGUUCGCAAUGGGCGAAAGCCUGACGACGCAACGCCGCGUGGAGGAUGAAGACCUUCGGGUCGUAAACUCCUUUCGAUCGAGACGAAUGGCUCUGGGGUUAAUAGCCCUGGAGAAUGACGGUACCGAGAGAAGAAGCCCCGGCUAACUCCGUGCCAGCAGCCGCGGUAAUACGGGGGGGGCAAGCGUUGUUCGGAAUUACUGGGCGUAAAGGGCUCGUAGGCGGCCAACUAAGUCAGACGUGAAAUCCCUCGGCUUAACCGGGGAACUGCGUCUGAUACUGGAUGGCUUGAGUUCGGGAGAGGGAUGCGGAAUUCCAGGUGUAGCGGUGAAAUGCGUAGAUAUCUGGAGGAACACCGGUGGCGAAGGCGGCAUCCUGGACCGACACUGACGCUGAGGAGCGAAAGCCAGGGGAGCAAACGGGAUUAGAUACCCCGGUAGUCCUGGCCCUAAACGAUGAAUGCUUGGUGUGGCGGGUAUCGAUCCUCGCGUCGCGACGCUACGACAUAAGUACAUCCGUCCGUCGGGAGGUACGGUCGCGAGGCGUGAACGUACAAGUAGAAGUUAGUACGGCGUGAGACGUCGCCGACGGACGACGACGAGGGAGAGG
RNAcentral lists this ribosomal RNA (633 nucleotides) under uncultured bacterium. RNAcentral's name for it is "bacterial SSU rRNA". The stretch from base 1 to 544 matches the Rfam family "Bacterial small subunit ribosomal RNA", at positions 338 to 873 of the family's 1533-position model. The record is from RNAcentral.